This is a long non-coding RNA of Stegodyphus dumicola, 618 nucleotides long. RefSeq lists it as uncharacterized. NCBI's taxonomy places the organism in Eukaryota, Metazoa, Arthropoda, Arachnida, Araneae, Eresidae. The record is from RefSeq and is a predicted model, not a curated record.
ACAUUCGAUGCACAGAAAUUUGAACAUCAUCAACAAAAGAACAUUCCAGACCACAAAUAUAAAGGUUCCAGUAAAGAACCAGUAGUGUGAAGUGAACAGAAUGGCAGGCUUUCGUCCAGUUUUGUUUCUUGCUCUAGCCUUACUGGCAUUAUCUUUCUGGUUAUCUCAAGCAGACGAUGAUCCUCCACCUCCACCUCCUCCUCCCCCUCCUCCGCCGCCGCCACCACCACCACCUAAGUCUUCUGGCUCUGAUGGCUUUUCCCUUAUGAAAGCCGGAUCUGAUUUAUUAAAUACCGUCAAAGAAAUCUUAGGGGUUUAGCUUAAUUUGCAAAAAAGGUUACUAAUUCAAAGAGAAAAAAUGAGACGAUGCCCAUCAUAAAAGAUUGCAAACUUCAUCUGUGUUCUGAUAUAUGCCUGCGGUUGCAAGAUCUAAAAGGAUCAAAUUUUUUUGCAGUUUGUAUUAGAGCAUUUAUUUUAGUCAAUUCCGCGUACCAUUGUCAUUUUUAUCCUUAUGGAUGGAUGUUUAAAAUAUUAAUGUUUCUUCCUCCAUUUUACAGUUUUAAAUGUUAUCUGUAUGUAUCUUUUAAUCAAUCAAUAAACACUUAUUGAUAAAAGUGA